Long non-coding RNA from Acanthopagrus latus (yellowfin seabream), 449 nucleotides. RefSeq lists it as uncharacterized. The record is from RefSeq and is a predicted model, not a curated record. NCBI's taxonomy places the organism in Eukaryota, Metazoa, Chordata, Actinopteri, Spariformes, Sparidae. The transcript is spliced from 2 exons.
GGGAUGGCGUCCCAUUGGUCAAAACGGAGGCCGCUGCCCAGUGAAUAGGAGCCGGCAGCACACGGCGUGCACUCCUGGAUGCUCAUCUCUAAAUACUUCCCGGCCGGACAGGAAAAAGCUAUGACACAGAGAGGAAAACAAACCAAGAUGCUGCGUCCAGGCUGAGCGCUGCUGGCGCAACAAUAGACCCCUGACAGCAGCGUUACCCGCCCGGUCCUCUCUCCUCCUCUGCGGGUGAUCCUGCCCCGUCUGACCGGCAGACGGCUGCCUGAGCGGGGAUGAGGGCCAGCAGACAGCGUCAUCUCGUUAUGGAGCGUGUUCAUUGUGAACAGUGAACAGCAUUGUAAGCCGAUCAGCAGCGUGAGGAGGACACUGUUGAGCCCGUAUAAAGCUGUAAAACGUCUUGUAAAUGUGUUGUCUGGUGGUGCAUUAUAAGAGAAGCAUCUGGA